This 253-nucleotide ribosomal RNA is filed under the name uncultured bacterium. Its description in RNAcentral is "partial 16S ribosomal RNA". It matches the Rfam family "Bacterial small subunit ribosomal RNA", at positions 524 to 776 of the family's 1533-position model. The record is from RNAcentral.
UACGUAGGGUGCGAGCGUUAAUCGGAAUUACUGGGCGUAAAGCGUGCGCAGGCGGUUUUAUAAGCCAGAUGUGAAAGCCCCGGGCUCAACCUGGGAAUGGCAUUUGGGACUGUAAGGCUGGAGUAUGGCAGAGGAGACUAGAAUUCCUAGUGUAGCAGUGAAAUGCGUAGAUAUCAGGAGGAAUACCGAUGGCGAAGGCAGGUCUCUGGGCCAAUACUGACGCUCAUGCACGAAAGCGUGGGGAGCAAACAGG